AAGUCGUAACAAGGUUUCCGUAGGUGAACCUGCGGAAGGAUCAUUAUUGAAUAAACUUGAUCAGGUUGUUGCUGGCUCCCCUGAGCAUGUGCACACUUGUCAUCUUUACUUCUCCCCACUGUGCACAUAUUGUAGGCCUGGAAUUCUUAUGAUUAUUUUGUAUAGAUUGAGGACUGCUGUGCUUUAGCCAGCUUUUCCUUGCAUUUCCAGGUCUAUGUUUACCUUCACAACCUCUGAAUAUGUUUAGAAUGUUGGAAUAUAAUAUAUAUAUAUACAACUUUCAGCAACGGAUCUCUUGGCUCUC
RNAcentral lists this unclassified non-coding RNA (304 nucleotides) under Inocybe curvipes. RNAcentral describes it as "partial internal transcribed spacer region". The stretch from base 1 to 46 matches the Rfam family "Eukaryotic small subunit ribosomal RNA", at positions 1786 to 1831 of the family's 1831-position model. Lineage: Eukaryota; Fungi; Basidiomycota; Agaricomycetes; Agaricales; Inocybaceae. The record is from RNAcentral.